This 199-nucleotide ribosomal RNA is filed under the name uncultured bacterium. RNAcentral's name for it is "partial 16S ribosomal RNA". It matches the Rfam family "Bacterial small subunit ribosomal RNA", at positions 328 to 539 of the family's 1533-position model. The record is from RNAcentral.
ACGCUCGACACCUACUGGAGGCAGCAGUGGGGAAUAUUGCACAAUGGGGGAAACCCUGAUGCAGCAACGCCGCGUGAAGGAAGACGGUUUUCGGAUUGUAAACUUCUGUUCUUAGUGAAGAUAGUGACGGUAGCUAAGGAGCAAGCCACGGCUAACUACGUGCUAGCAGCCGCGGUAAUCUGAGGCGGGCUGGCAAGGC